Molecule: long non-coding RNA, 288 nt
Organism: Dinoponera quadriceps
Lineage: Eukaryota; Metazoa; Arthropoda; Insecta; Hymenoptera; Formicidae
Exons: 2
Source: RefSeq, a predicted model, not a curated record
UUAAUUUCGAUUCUCGAUCUUCACUACGAUAUAGACUUCAUGUUUGCAAUUCUGUGAAUCCCCUGUCUUUUGUUUAAUAAAAUUCGUCACAAUGUGAAUGACGCAUUCCCGAGUGAGACUGAUGUCAUCAGUAGUUUGUACUUUAUCGGCAUUUCUUUAAGUUUAAAAAUGUCUUGAAAUUUAAUAUAAAACAUUCUUCAUUACGCAGAGUGAACGUCCAUCCCAAUAUCUAUAUCCAGUGCAAUUAUUUUUAAAUAUAUUUCUAUCAUGUCGCAACAAAAAAAAAAA